CCUCAAACAUGCCUCCAAUGAAUGCUCUCUCAGAGGCUGUUUUGGGCUUCAUUGAUGAUAACCACAAAUGGGAUUCUUACUCAGAAUAUGCAGGAACAUGUAAAGUGUCAUUUGUUUUCUGGUCACAUAAAUUUAUUGAUAAGAAUUUCAUCACAAAAACAGAAAAACAUCUGAUUUUGUCUUUUCUUACUCAUUAGAUCGUAACAACUGCAUUCCUGGAAUGGCUGUCUCACAAUGCCACUGCACCCCUGCCUUCUAAACAGUGCUGCUAAAAGAGAGGAGAAGUGGGGACCCUAAGGAAUGUCAGACCAUUCCUAUUUGUGCAACAAAGUCAGUCCCUUGGCCCAAGAGACUUAAGAUCAACCUGGGAGAGUAUGACAUUAUGAUUGGCCUCUAAAUCUCUCAGGGGGUUGUUAUGACAUGGGGCCUAGAGACUGUGGAAGGGGCAGGAUAACUACCCUGGGUGCCAAUGAUAGGAGAAGUGUGCAUAGAGCACAGCCUGUCCCCUGGUCCCGCCUCUGGUGAGAGUCUGCAUAUAGCUGCAGCCCAAGUUAACUGUGGACCAUAAACAGCCCAGAGCCCCAACUUUGUCCUUAGUCCAACAUGAGUAAGAAUCAUGCUACAUAAGUGAAUCUCUACCUUUCCUGUAGUCUCUGAUUCUUCAAAAGAAAUGUCUCACUGGCCAGUGGGAGUGAUCUGCUUACCAGGCUACCUUCCUGCAACAAAGCCCUGGCCCCAGGACCCUCCUCAUAGGCAUAAGUCUCAGAGCUCCUCUGGGCAUCUUGGGUGGAGUGUAAAGAAUCAAAGAGUGCCUCAAAGGAGAAAUGUGCCCUGGGAAAAUGGGAAGCUGGGACUGUUUGAGUUCUGGUCUAGGGCUUCAGUAUCUUGCCUAGAUAGCACUCCUAGCUGUGGUGGUCCCAGUCAUUGAAGAGGACUUACAAACCUUGGAGAAAAGCACUUCCUAUGACGGAGACCCUUACACGAUCAGAUCUGGGCUCAAGAGCAGCAUUGCACUAUAGUCCUCAGCCCAUCUCAAGCACCAGAGUGGAAAGGAGAAAAUUCCAACGAAGGCACUCUAAAGCGUGGAGCCCAAGGUGGAGGCCCAAAUCAUCCAGC
This 1116-nucleotide long non-coding RNA is filed under the name Marmota monax (woodchuck). The record is from RNAcentral. Lineage: Eukaryota; Metazoa; Chordata; Mammalia; Rodentia; Sciuridae.